GUUUCAGAUGGUAAUCCAAUGUAUAAGCAAUGGACUGUUUUAUUCUUGGUGCUUUCAAGACCUGAUGCUUUGUUUUGAACAGGUUGAUACAUCUAGGAGUGAAAUACAUCACCGCUUUCCCUGCUCCCGCCGCCAUUAAAAUUGUGUUUGGCAUCUGACCACCAAGAUACAGAUAUUUCCUAGACUGUUUUGCAGCUAGGUACUUAGAUUUCAUACUAGGACCUUUCAUUGGCUGAACAAAGACAAAGACAGAAAUCAAGGAAGGUCAAAGAAGCAGUCAGUUUUCUGGCACCCAAAGUUGUUGGAGAAGGGUACAGAGUCGGUAAAUAAGUCAUAUGACAGACAGGCAGUAUUUUCUUAUUUUAAUAACAAGUUUAAAAAUCCCACUUCUUGUACUUACCUUCUGUCUGACGUCAUCAGUAUUUUAAAAUGCCAACUGGGAUCAAGUUCAACACUGCAUUACUGAAGAAUCCAGAUUAUCUACAUUUCAAGUGCCAAAUGAAAGAAAGAACCCAGAAAAUAAAACAAUAUGAUGAUAACAGUAAAAUUUUUUAAAAUGAAA
Molecule: long non-coding RNA, 562 nt
Organism: Homo sapiens (human)
Lineage: Eukaryota; Metazoa; Chordata; Mammalia; Primates; Hominidae
Source: Ensembl